Molecule: ribosomal RNA, 303 nt
Filed under: uncultured bacterium
Lineage: Bacteria
Description: bacterial SSU rRNA
Rfam family: Bacterial small subunit ribosomal RNA
Source: RNAcentral
UGAGGAAUAUUGGUCAAUGGGCGGAAGCCUGAACCAGCCAAGUCGCGUGAGGGAAGGCGGCCCUACGGGUUGUAAACCUCUUUUGCCGGGGAGCAAUGCCCAGCUCGCGAGCUGGGAAGGAGAGUACCCGGAGAAAAAGCAUCGGCUAACUCCGUGCCAGCAGCCGCGGUAAUACGGAGGAUGCGAGCGUUAUCCGGAUUUAUUGGGUUUAAAGGGUGCGUAGGCGGUCUGUUAAGUCAGCGGUCAAAUGUCGGCGCUCAACGCCGGCCUGCCGUUGAAACUGGCGGACUUGAGUGGGCGAGA